AUACUUACCUGGCGUAGGGGUUACCGUGAUCAUGAAGGCGGUUCCUCCGGAGCGAGGCUUGGCCAUUGCACUUCGGCUGAGUUGACCUUCGCGAUUAUUCCUAAUGCGAAUAAAGUGCCAUAACUAAGC
Molecule: small nuclear RNA, 129 nt
Filed under: Bactrocera dorsalis (oriental fruit fly)
Lineage: Eukaryota; Metazoa; Arthropoda; Insecta; Diptera; Tephritidae
Description: U1 spliceosomal RNA
Rfam family: U1 spliceosomal RNA
About the family: U1 is a small nuclear RNA (snRNA) component of the spliceosome (involved in pre-mRNA splicing). Its 5' end forms complementary base pairs with the 5' splice junction, thus defining the 5' donor site of an intron. There are significant differences in sequence and secondary structure between metazoan and yeast U1 snRNAs, the latter being much longer (568 nucleotides as compared to 164 nucleotides in human).
Source: Rfam by way of RNAcentral